This 487-nucleotide long non-coding RNA is filed under the name Salmo salar (Atlantic salmon). RNAcentral describes it as "lncRNA (ENSSSAG00000097456.1)". Lineage: Eukaryota; Metazoa; Chordata; Actinopteri; Salmoniformes; Salmonidae. The record is from RNAcentral.
GAUCUGAGAACAAUGAGACGGGGGAGCGCGUGCACGAGACGACUCCAUUUUCAACUUUGAGUCUUUGAACGAAAACAAGGUUUCCCGGUCGGAAUAUUAUCGCUUUUUUACGAGAAAAAUCGCAUAAAAAUGUAUUUUAAACGUUUGACAUGCUUCGAAGUACGGUAAUGGAAUAUUUUGCAUUUUUUUGUCAUGAUACGCGUCCGCGCGUCACCGUUCGGAUAGUGUCUUGAACGCAAGAACAAAACAGAGGAUAUUUGAACAUAACUAUGGAUUAUUUUGAACCAAAACAACAUGUGUGGAUGAAGUAGAAGUCCUGGGAGUGCAUUCUGACGAAGAAUAGCAAAGCGGACGUCUCUUGAUAGACACAUCAACGAGUCAUGGAAAUGUCACUGGGACGAGGGGAGAGAUGGACCAGGAGGACGAGGGGAGAGAUGGACCAGGGGGACGAGGGGAGAGAUGGACGAGGGGAGAGAUGGACCAGGGG